Molecule: ribosomal RNA, 300 nt
Filed under: uncultured Halococcus sp.
Lineage: Archaea; Methanobacteriati; Methanobacteriota; Halobacteria; Halobacteriales; Halococcaceae
Description: bacterial SSU rRNA
Rfam family: Bacterial small subunit ribosomal RNA
Source: RNAcentral
GGGAGCGUGUGUGCAGCAGGCGCGAGUAGUCGUGUGGGGGUAGCGUGUGGCGUGAGUAGUGGGCCUAAAGCGUGUGUGGGCGGUCGUGUAAGUUCGCUGUGAAAGUCGGGGGCUGAACGCGCGUGUGUCGGUGGAUACUGUCGGGCUGGAGGACGGAAUAGGCGAGUGUAAUUCCUGUUGGAGCGGUGAAAUGCGCAGAUAUCAGGAGGAACACCAAUUGCGAAGGCAGCUCGCUGGGACUUUACUGACGCUGAGACGCGAAAGCGUGGGGAGCAAACAGGAUUAGAUACCCUAGUAGUC